Camelina sativa (false flax) is the source of this 609-nucleotide long non-coding RNA. RefSeq lists it as uncharacterized. The record is from RefSeq and is a predicted model, not a curated record. Lineage: Eukaryota; Viridiplantae; Streptophyta; Magnoliopsida; Brassicales; Brassicaceae.
ACCUUCUAGAAACUCUUUCUCUCCCUACUCUAAAUCCAAACGACAUCUUAAACUGUGAAUUGAAGCAGAAGCGUCAUGUACUUCCUCUAUAAAACCCAGAAUGACCAGUUCCAUAUGUGAUUCAGUGAUUGCCUUACCUCCAUCGGCCCUUCAUCUUCCAAGUUCAGUGUUUUCAACAUAUGUGACGGUGUAGAAGGAUGUAGAGAAGAGACUCACGCACAUUCUUUUAUUGUCUUCCCCUAUUGCUUAAAUCCUGCUUUCCAAACGACUUAAUUCCAUUAUUUGCAUAAUUCUCCUUUGCUAUGUGACUUAGGCUUAGUAUUUUCUUGCCUUCGGGUCAAAGUCACCAUAGUCACAUCCAACUUAUUGGAGAGAUUUGUCAAAGGAUUCACUCCCAAAGCAUCCAUUUUUGUUAGGUGAUUUUUGUUCUUCAUUUUAUAAUUUUAUCUUGACUGUAUGGUGAUUUCAAUUCCUAGAAAUCUUCGAUUGGGGAAAAUUUUGGCUCUCAAAUCUUAUAUAUAAUGCAACCAUAUUAAUGAAUAACUCUUUUAUUGUGAUGAUUAACUCUUUUACAAGUUACAGUCGAUAACUUGAUUUACUCUUUGACAA